Molecule: ribosomal RNA, 479 nt
Filed under: uncultured bacterium
Lineage: Bacteria
Description: partial 16S ribosomal RNA
Rfam family: Bacterial small subunit ribosomal RNA
Source: RNAcentral
GAUGAACGCUGGCGGCGUGCUUAACACAUGCAAGUCGAGCGAGAAGUUUUGAAAAGAUUCUUCGGAUGAAAUUUAAAAUGGAAAGCGGCGGACGGGUGAGUAACGCGUAGGCAACCUGCCCCAUACAAAGGGAUAGCAUUUGGAAACGAAUAUUAAUACCUUAUGAAACUUAACUAGUGCAUGCUAGGUAGGUCAAAGAUUUAUCGGUAUGGGAUGGGCCUGCGUCUGAUUAGCUAGUCGGUGAGGUAACGGCUCACCAAGGCGACGAUCAGUAGCCGACCUGAGAGGGUGAACGGCCACAUUGGAACUGAGACACGGUCCAAACUCCUACGGGAGGCAGCAGUGGGGAAUAUUGCACAAUGGGGGAAACCCUGAUGCAGCAACGCCGCGUGAACGAUGAAGGCCUUUGGGUCGUAAAGUUCUGUUCUAGGUGAUGAAAACUGACAGUAACCUAGGAGAAAGCCCCGGCUAACUCCGUG